GCCCCUGUAGUUCAACGGAUAGAAUACCUCCCUUCUAAGGAGGGGAUCCAAGUUCGAUUCUUGGCGGGGGUA
Molecule: transfer RNA, 72 nt
Filed under: Candidatus Yanofskybacteria bacterium RIFCSPHIGHO2_01_FULL_41_53
Lineage: Bacteria; Candidatus Yanofskyibacteriota
Also listed under: 5 other names
Description: tRNA-Arg
Rfam family: tRNA
About the family: Transfer RNA (tRNA) molecules are approximately 80 nucleotides in length. Their secondary structure includes four short double-helical elements and three loops (D, anti-codon, and T loops).
Source: RNAcentral